This 696-nucleotide ribosomal RNA is filed under the name uncultured bacterium. RNAcentral's name for it is "bacterial SSU rRNA". It matches the Rfam family "Bacterial small subunit ribosomal RNA", at positions 32 to 715 of the family's 1533-position model. The record is from RNAcentral.
AACGCUAGCUACAGGCUUAACACAUGCAAGUCGAGGGGAAACGACAUCGAAAGCUUGCUUUUGAUGGGCGUCGACCGGCGCACGGGUGAGUAACGCGUAUCCAACCUGCCCACCACUUGGGGAUAACCUUGCGAAAGUAAGACUAAUACCCAAUGAUAUCUCUAGAAGACAUCUGAAAGAGAUUAAAGAUUUAUCGGUGAUGGAUGGGGAUGCGUCUGAUUAGCUUGUUGGCGGGGUAACGGCCCACCAAGGCGACGAUCAGUAGGGGUUCUGAGAGGAAGGUCCCCCACAUUGGAACUGAGACACGGUCCAAACUCCUACGGGAGGCAGCAGUGAGGAAUAUUGGUCAAUGGGCGAGAGCCUGAACCAGCCAAGUAGCGUGCAGGAUGACGGCCCUAUGGGUUGUAAACUGCUUUUAUAAGGGAAUAAAGUGAGUCUCGUGAGACUUUUUGCAUGUACCUUAUGAAUAAGGACCGGCUAAUUCCGUGCCAGCAGCCGCGGUAAUACGGAAGGUCCGGGCGUUAUCCGGAUUUAUUGGGUUUAAAGGGAGCGUAGGCCGGAGAUUAAGCGUGUUGUGAAAUGUAGACGCUCAACGUCUGCACUGCAGCGCGAACUGGUUUCCUUGAGUACGCACAAAGUGGGCGGAAUUCGUGGUGUAGCGGUGAAAUGCUUAGGUAUCACGAAGAACUCCGAUUG